AGUUGUUUAUCAUCAAAAGAUACUUUCCUUGUUAAUCAAGCUUCAUACCAAAGUUAAGGCACACCUGAACAGAGUGGGCUAAACCAACUCAUUGUGUAAACCUGGAUACUGCUCACUCAUUAUCCUUGCUGAUGCAGAAGGUCUGUUUUGUAACAUCUUUCUAUGAAAAGCUAGAACAUCAGUGCUUGCUCCUGGAAAAGGGCCAGUGUGAGUCAUCUUGUGCAGUGUGGCAUGACUCUGAGGGUUCAAAGAAGGACUUGGCGAUUUCAGAGGCUCUAAAAAUAAGGUUAAUAAACAGGUGCUCUGCAGAGGGUCAUUGUAUAUCCCACAAGGUAUGAUUCAAGGUCAUUUGCAGACUUAUUUGCAGUUAAAAUUUGUAUUGCCUGUGUUGUCUAGCCCUAAUGGAUUUGUACGGUUUUGCCUCUGUUUGCCUGUGCACCAACUUAACUGUUGCAGCACGUAUCUACUCCAACUCAUCUCCUGUCCACAGGACUGGUUUGUGGACAGCCUGUCUGACAUGCUCAACAGUCCGCUAACCUCCCUUAUGUGUCCAGGCAUGCUCAGACCUACAUGUUUCAGCUGUGUCAGCACCUCUAUGUACUGUUUUGCUGCUUGUAUGGUCAUGAAGAUAGUUUUGAAGAUGGCUUUGAGGUUACCCUCUGUGGGAUGCAUGGUAUACACAGGGUGGACAGAUCUGUCCGGAGAUGAAAGUGCUUCUCCUGGGAUAUCUUUCUCUAUUUGAGAGUGGAAUAAAUUCUGCAGGCAUGAGAUGCCCCAAUGCUGGUGCAACUGUAUCAUUGCUAGAACUGAUCCCAGCCUUACUGCUCUUGUUUUCCUGGCGCAGACCAACAGUAAAUCCACUUUGCACUGCUGUGGCAGUGUGGAGGAGCCUCAGUGAGGAAAUAAAUGAUAUUUACACCUAGUUGAAGGUUCUGUUCAAUCCUGAUGUAAUAAAAAGCAGUGAGAAUGUAAGGAGGAACUAGACUCCAACUUGUGCAAGAAGAGUUCAUUACCAAACCUCUCCAGCCCCUCCCCUGGAUUCACCAGGAUUUAUGUGCUUCUUCAGUAAGAUAAAUUGUACUCGCUUUCCAAUAUGCUGACUUUAGGGUAAGGAAGAAAAAACAGUCAAAUCAGAUAUGUUCUUUUUUUAAUUUUAAUUAAAUCAUCUGUAUUUGAAGGUGGUGACAACUACGCUUCAGUCUCCUCUUGUUCAUCCCGUACUCUGGGAAAAGUUCCAGUCUGAUUUUUGCUUUGCUCAUAACAGAAAGCUUGUAUUGGUUUCCUAGCCCUAUAAUAAAUUAUGAGUUCUG
This is a long non-coding RNA of Gallus gallus (chicken), 1310 nucleotides long. The record is from Ensembl. Lineage: Eukaryota; Metazoa; Chordata; Aves; Galliformes; Phasianidae.